GGGAUGUGUCUGGGGAGAUGUUUGGCCAUGGGGCAGGUGGGAUCCAUGUUCCCAUCCCCAUUCCUGGUGUUUCCCUGCAUGAGGAGGUGCUCCAGGCACCUGAUUUCCACAGAGCUGAAUAAUGGAGCUCUUAUCAGCUCACCCUGACUGGGUUGCAGUGUUCUGAGGGAGAUGUUGAAGCACCUUUGCCCAGGGAUGUGUUUGGGGAGGAUAUAUGGCCAUGGGUGCCAUGUUGCCAUGCCCUGUUUCCCUGCAGGUGCACCAGGCACCUGAUUUCCACAGAGCUGAACACUGGAGCUCACCGUGACUGGGUUGAAGUGUUCUGAGGGAAAUGUUGAAGCUCCUUUGCCAGGGGUUGUGUCUGGGGAGGAUAUAUGGCCAUGGGUGCCAUGUUGCCAUGCCCAUUCCUGUUUCCCUGCAGGUGCACCAGACACCUGAUUUCCACAGAGCUGAACCACUGGCACUUUUACACAUCACCCUGACUUGGCUGAAGUGUUCUGAGGGAGAUGUGGAAGUUCCUUUGCCCAGGGGAUGUGUCUGGGGGGACGUUUGGCCAUGGGGUGGGUGCCAUGUUGCCAUGCCAUGUUUCCCUGCUGGAAGAGGUGCACCAGGGCACCUGAUUUCCACAGAGCUCAACAAUCAAACUUUUAC
RNAcentral lists this long non-coding RNA (651 nucleotides) under Zonotrichia albicollis (white-throated sparrow). RNAcentral's name for it is "lncRNA (ENSZALG00000005939.1)". Lineage: Eukaryota; Metazoa; Chordata; Aves; Passeriformes; Passerellidae. The record is from RNAcentral.